UCAAUGAAAACGAUGGUCACGUGACUCACAAAUGCAAAAAAAGUGUUGAAAAUUUGUCAGUGUACGAUCCCUCCAAUUAAUUAUAACAGUUUUGCUGUAGUUUAGUGGUCUGGACUCAGGCUAAGCCAAGUUUUAUUACAAUACACGUCAUAUAUGACCACGUGUAUUGUAUUUUAGCCACUGUGGGUCUAUCAUCUUCCACGAGGCGCCAAACAUUAGCUUCUCAUUACAAAAUUGAGAAUUGGCAACCAAAUCGCUGAAAGAAGUAUACGUAGUAAAAGUAACUGGAAACAAAUUUUUGUUAUUGUUCUUGGCUAAAUCCUGCUCAUCUAUAUCAAAGCUACGUGAAUAUAAUUGUAUACAGCACGAGUGUCUUACUACUUUACGUGUUCAUCACAAGUACUAAAUUCUGUUUUUGGGGUGAAAAUAAACGGCUGAAUAGUAACAAAGUUCCUGCAACUAUAAAUCUUUCAAGAAGAUACAAUAGCCUUAUUAUUCCUGUUAUUAUUGAAACCAAUAUUUUUUGUAUAAAAAAUAACAAAAAUAAUAUUUGAGUAUAUAAUUAA
Molecule: long non-coding RNA, 566 nt
Organism: Nasonia vitripennis (jewel wasp)
Lineage: Eukaryota; Metazoa; Arthropoda; Insecta; Hymenoptera; Pteromalidae
Exons: 3
Source: RefSeq, a predicted model, not a curated record